Molecule: ribosomal RNA, 253 nt
Filed under: uncultured bacterium
Lineage: Bacteria
Description: partial 16S ribosomal RNA
Rfam family: Bacterial small subunit ribosomal RNA
Source: RNAcentral
UACGUAGGGUGCAAGCGUUGUCCGGAAUUAUUGGGCGUAAAGAGCGUGUAGGCGGCCCGACAAGUCCGCUGUGAAAGUUCAGGGCUCAACCCUGGAAUGCCGGUGGAUACUGUCGGGCUAGAGUCCGGAAGGGGCGAGUGGAAUUCCUGGUGUAGCGGUGAAAUGCGCAGAUAUCAGGAGGAACACCAAUGGCGAAGGCAGCUCGCUGGGACGGUACUGACGCUGAGACGCGAAAGCGUGGGGAGCAAACAGG